This 283-nucleotide ribosomal RNA is filed under the name Salmonella enterica. RNAcentral's name for it is "partial 16S ribosomal RNA". It matches the Rfam family "Bacterial small subunit ribosomal RNA", at positions 1 to 280 of the family's 1533-position model. The record is from RNAcentral. Lineage: Bacteria; Pseudomonadati; Pseudomonadota; Gammaproteobacteria; Enterobacterales; Enterobacteriaceae. RNAcentral also lists the same sequence under 1 other name.
AAAUUGAAGAGUUUGAUCAUGGCUCAGAUUGAACGCUGGCGGCAGGCCUAACACAUGCAAGUCGAACGGUAACAGGAAGCAGCUUGCUGCUUUGCUGACGAGUGGCGGACGGGUGAGUAAUGUCUGGGAAACUGCCUGAUGGAGGGGGAUAACUACUGGAAACGGUGGCUAAUACCGCAUAAUGUCGCAAGACCAAAGAGGGGGACCUUCGGGCCUCUUGCCAUCAGAUGUGCCCAGAUGGGAUUAGCUUGUUGGUGAGGUAACGGCUCACCAAGGCGACGAU